CGGAAUCGCGUUUACCGGAUGUUUUCGCAAUUUCGCGGGGGAAAAAAAUGUGUGAAUGCUUGCCGGGGACGAGCUGCGAAGUUGA
This 85-nucleotide microRNA precursor is filed under the name Apis mellifera (honey bee). RNAcentral describes it as "microRNA ame-mir-3738 precursor". Lineage: Eukaryota; Metazoa; Arthropoda; Insecta; Hymenoptera; Apidae. The record is from miRBase by way of RNAcentral.